GGUCGGCUCGGCAGUGCGGCUUGGCAGCGCGGUUGGACGACUCGACAUCCGAACAGUAUACCAAUUUCUAGGUUUUUGACCCUUCUGGAGCCAUUCCCACCCUUGUUUCAGCCAUCUGAGAAGGUAGUUAGGCGCCGGAGUUAGCAUUAUGGGUGACUUCGGCCAAGGCCAAGGAGGUAAGGGCAAGGCUCCCAUGUACGGCUGACGGUGGAUGCUGCGCAGGCCAUGAAAAUCUUGAGGAGAGUUUGUAGUGUCG
Molecule: long non-coding RNA, 256 nt
Organism: Cucurbita moschata (crookneck pumpkin)
Lineage: Eukaryota; Viridiplantae; Streptophyta; Magnoliopsida; Cucurbitales; Cucurbitaceae
Exons: 3
Source: RefSeq, a predicted model, not a curated record